Molecule: non-coding RNA, 45 nt
Filed under: Trichobilharzia regenti
Lineage: Eukaryota; Metazoa; Platyhelminthes; Trematoda; Strigeidida; Schistosomatidae
Source: RNAcentral
AUCUAAAUGAUGAGUCCCAAAUAAGACGAAACGUGCAUCCUGGAU